UACUCUGUAGACUAACGGUAGGUCACCUGGUUCUGGCCCAGGCAGUCGAGGUUCGAAUCCUUGCGGAGUAGC
Molecule: transfer RNA, 72 nt
Filed under: Streptomyces phage Immanuel3
Lineage: Duplodnaviria; Heunggongvirae; Uroviricota; Caudoviricetes
Also listed under: 8 other names
Description: tRNA-Gln
Rfam family: tRNA
About the family: Transfer RNA (tRNA) molecules are approximately 80 nucleotides in length. Their secondary structure includes four short double-helical elements and three loops (D, anti-codon, and T loops). Further hydrogen bonds mediate the characteristic L-shaped molecular structure. tRNAs have two regions of fundamental functional importance: the anti-codon, which is responsible for specific mRNA codon recognition, and the 3' end, to which the tRNAs corresponding amino acid is attached (by aminoacyl-tRNA synthetases). tRNAs cope with the degeneracy of the genetic code in two manners: having more than one tRNA (with a specific anti-codon) for a particular amino acid; and 'wobble' base-pairing, i.e. permitting non-standard base-pairing at the 3rd anti-codon position.
Source: RNAcentral